GACGAACGCUGGCGGCGUGCUUAACACAUGCAAGUCGAACGGAAAGGCCCUGCUUUUGUGGGGUGCUCGAGUGGCGAACGGGUGAGUAACACGUGAGUAACCUGCCCUUGACUUUGGGAUAACUUCAGGAAACUGGGGCUAAUACCGGAUAGGAGCUCCUGCUGCAUGGUGGGGGUUGGAAAGUUUCGGCGGUUGGGGAUGGACUCGCGGCUUAUCAGCUUGUUGGUGGGGUAGUGGCUUACCAAGGCUUUGACGGGUAGCCGGCCUGAGAGGGUGACCGGCCACAUUGGGACUGAGAUACGGCCUAGACUCCUACGGGAGGCAGCAGUGGGGAAUAUUGCACAAUGAGCGGAAGCCUGAUGCAGCAACGCCGCGUGCGGGAUGACGGCCUUCGGGUUGUAAACCGCUUUCGCCUGUGACGAAGCGUGAGUGACGGUAAUGGGUAAAGAAGCACCGGCUAACUACGUG
This 468-nucleotide ribosomal RNA is filed under the name uncultured bacterium. Its description in RNAcentral is "partial 16S ribosomal RNA". It matches the Rfam family "Bacterial small subunit ribosomal RNA", at positions 28 to 507 of the family's 1533-position model. The record is from RNAcentral.